UAAGGAAUAUUGGUCAAUGGACGCAAGUCUGAACCAGCCAUGCCGCGUGCAGGAUGAAGGCCCUAUGGGUCGUAAACUGCUUUUGUACGGGAAAAAACCCCUCUACGUGUAGAGGGCUGAUGGUACCGUAAGAAUAAGGAUCGGCUAACUCCGUGCCAGCAGCCGCGGUAAUACGGAGGAUCCAAGCGUUAUCCGGAUUUAUUGGGUUUAAAGGGUGCGUAGGCGGAAUAGUAAGUCAGUGGUGAAAGCCUACAGCUUAACUGUAGAAUUGCCAUUGAUACUGCUAAUCUUGAGUAUAGAUGAAGUGGGCGGAAUGUGUCAUGUAGCGGUGAAAUGCUUAGAUAUGACACAGAACACCGAUUGCGAAGGCAGCUCACUAAACUAUAACUGACGCUGAGGCACGAAAGCGUGGGGAUCAAACAGG
RNAcentral lists this ribosomal RNA (424 nucleotides) under uncultured bacterium. Its description in RNAcentral is "bacterial SSU rRNA". It matches the Rfam family "Bacterial small subunit ribosomal RNA", at positions 355 to 776 of the family's 1533-position model. The record is from RNAcentral.